Molecule: ribosomal RNA, 916 nt
Filed under: Hypocreales sp. FY-2022c
Lineage: Eukaryota; Fungi; Ascomycota; Sordariomycetes; Hypocreales
Description: SSU rRNA
Rfam family: Eukaryotic small subunit ribosomal RNA
Source: RNAcentral
UGCAUGUCUAAGUAUAAGCAAUUAUACGGCGAAACUGCGAAUGGCUCAUUAUAUAAGUUAUCGUUUAUUUGAUAAUACUUUACUACUUGGAUAACCGUGGUAAUUCUAGAGCUAAUACAUGCUAAAAAUCCCGACUUCGGAAGGGUUGUAUUUAUUAGAUUAAAAACCAAUGCCCUCUGGGCUCUCUGGUGAAUCAUAAUAACUUGUCGAAUCGCAAGGCCUUGUGCCGGCGAUGGCUCAUUCAAAUUUCUUCCCUAUCAACUUUCGAUGUUUGGGUAUUGGCCAAACAUGGUGGCAACGGGUAACGGAGGGUUAGGGCUCGACCCCGGAGAAGGAGCCUGAGAAACGGCUACUACAUCCAAGGAAGGCAGCAGGCGCGCAAAUUACCCAAUCCCGACACGGGGAGGUAGUGACAAUAAAUACUGAUACAGGGCUCUUAUGGGUCUUGUAAUCGGAAUGAGUACAAUUUAAAUCCCUUAACGAGGAACAAUUGGAGGGCAAGUCUGGUGCCAGCAGCCGCGGUAAUUCCAGCUCCAAUAGCGUAUAUUAAAGUUGUUGUGGUUAAAAAGCUCGUAGUUGAACCUUGGGCCUGGCUGGCCGGUCCGCCUCACCGCGUGCACUGGUCCGGCCGGGCCUUUCCCUCUGUGGAACCUCAUGCCCUUCACUGGGUGUGACGGGGAAACAGGACUUUUACUUUGAAAAAAUUAGAGUGCUCCAGGCAGGCCUAUGCUCGAAUACAUUAGCAUGGAAUAAUAAAAUAGGACGUGUGGUUCUAUUUUGUUGGUUUCUAGGACCGCCGUAAUGAUUAAUAGGGACAGUCGGGGGCAUCAGUAUUCAAUUGUCAGAGGUGAAAUUCUUGGAUUUAUUGAAGACUAACUACUGCGAAAGCAUUUGCCAAGGAUGUUUUCAUUAAUCA